Molecule: ribosomal RNA, 499 nt
Filed under: uncultured bacterium
Lineage: Bacteria
Description: partial 16S ribosomal RNA
Rfam family: Bacterial small subunit ribosomal RNA
Source: RNAcentral
AUUGAACGCUGGCGGAAUGCUUUACACAUGCAAGUCGAGCGGCAGCGCGGGGGCAACCUUGCGGCGAGCGGCGAACGGGUGAGUAACAUAUCGGAACGUGCCCAGGAGUGGGGGAUAACACAUCGAAAGAUGUGCUAAUACCGCAUAAGACCUGCGGGUGAACGGGGGGGAUCGCAAGACCUCUCGCUGAUGGAGCGGCCGAUAUCGGAUUAGCUAGUUGGUGGGGUAAAGGCCUACCAAGGCGACGAUUCGUAGCUGGUCUGCGAGGACGACCAGCCACACUGGGGCUGAGACACGGCCCAGACUCCUACGGGAGGCAGCAGUGGGGAAUUUUGGACAAUGGGGGAAACCCUGAUCCAGCCAUUCCGCGUGAGUGAAGAAGGCCUUCGGGUUGUAAAGCUCUUUCGGCAGGAACGAAAAGGUGGAUCCUAAUAUGAUCUGCUCAUGACGGUACCUGAAGAAGAAGCACCGGCUAACUACGUGCCAGCCGCCGCCGUAA